This 628-nucleotide ribosomal RNA is filed under the name uncultured marine bacterium. RNAcentral describes it as "bacterial SSU rRNA". It matches the Rfam family "Bacterial small subunit ribosomal RNA", at positions 8 to 617 of the family's 1533-position model. The record is from RNAcentral.
AGAGUUUGAUCCUGGCUCAGGAUGAACGCUGGCGGCGUGCCUAAUACAUGCAAGUCGAGCGAACUGAUUAGAAGCUUGCUUCUAUGACGUUAGCGGCGGACGGGUGAGUAACACGUGGGCAACCUGCCUGUAAGACUGGGAUAACUUCGGGAAACCGAAGCUAAUACCGGAUAGGAUCUUCUCCUUCAUGGGAGAUGAUUGAAAGAUGGUUUCGGCUAUCACUUACAGAUGGGCCCGCGGUGCAUUAGCUAGUUGGUGAGGUAACGGCUCACCAAGGCAACGAUGCAUAGCCGACCUGAGAGGGUGAUCGGCCACACUGGGACUGAGACACGGCCCAGACUCCUACGGGAGGCAGCAGUAGGGAAUCUUCAGCAAUGGACGAAAGUCUGACGGAGCAACGCCGCGUGAGUGAUGAAGGCUUUCGGGUCGUAAAACUCUGUUGUUAGGGAAGAACAAGUACGAGAGUAACUGCUCGUACCUUGACGGUACCUAACCAGAAAGCCACGGCUAACUACGUGCCAGCAGCCGCGGUAAUACGUAGGUGGCAAGCGUUAUCCGGAAUUAUUGGGCGUAAAGCGCGCGCAGGCGGUUUCUUAAGUCUGAUGUGAAAGCCCACGGCUCAACCGUG